RNAcentral lists this long non-coding RNA (941 nucleotides) under Vigna radiata. RNAcentral describes it as "long non-coding RNA (VRAD_LNC015241)". Lineage: Eukaryota; Viridiplantae; Streptophyta; Magnoliopsida; Fabales; Fabaceae. The record is from RNAcentral.
AUCUUUGGUUUACAUUGCAGUAGUUCACUCACGGGACAUGUGGCAUUCAAAGCACCCCUACUCAUGCGAAAGAUGAACCACAUAGGGAACACUAGUAAACAACAUAACAUCUUCCCGACCUUUAGCUCAUGACGCUGAUUAAGAGUCUCGUAAAUUUCAGUUAGGACAACCAAGACUGGACUCUCAAAGCAAACUUUUUAUCCUGUAAAUGCACUCAUUGCGGCGUAGCCAACAAAAUCCCUUGUACUAGGAAAAAGCAUGACACCAUAGUCGAUAAGAGCUAGUACAUUCACGUGCUUCCCACUUUUCCUCCUCGGUCAAUCAAUGCAAGAACCACCUUGAGGAAGGUCCCUUGUUAUACCUUUAAGUAUGAAUUCACUCUCCAACUUCAUAGGGGGAACUUUCAUUAUCCUUGCUAGCUGCAAAUCAGGUAUAUACUGCCCAAGGUGGUAUGAAGUGUUUCCCUUGAGGAAUACAUCUAGGGUCUCCUCAAAUUCUUCUAUUGUUGGCAUCAACUAGAAAUGGAUCAUAGUGUUGGGCUAAAACAAUAAUUGUUGUUGUCUGGACCUCCACCUCUGACAGGAUCAACANAUUCUCACUCAUUCCUGAAUGCAUUUUUCAAGGUCAUCUUUUUCAUAUCCCUCAAGAGAUUGAUUCUGCCCCCCUUGACUUCGAUGCGUAUGCUUUUCUUCAAAAAGUUUGAACUCAAAUACCCCUUGACUCAAAAUCCCAUGUUAAUUUCCAUUUUUACCGUAAUCACAACUUUAUAAUUUCUUGACUAGAACUCACAAAAUUUUGACAAGACCAUAGAAACAUGAGCAACAAAGAAAGAAAGAAAAAACAAUGUAGUGAUAUGUACAAGAUGCUUGAUUUUAUUAAACAAAAGUGAGGGUUAUAAGGAUACACACAUCUCCCUUUGUGCCCUAGUGAAGGUUCAACAU